This 578-nucleotide ribosomal RNA is filed under the name Acetobacteraceae bacterium CS9. RNAcentral's name for it is "bacterial SSU rRNA". It matches the Rfam family "Bacterial small subunit ribosomal RNA", at positions 339 to 934 of the family's 1533-position model. Lineage: Bacteria; Pseudomonadati; Pseudomonadota; Alphaproteobacteria; Acetobacterales; Acetobacteraceae. The record is from RNAcentral.
CUACGGGAGGCAGCAGUGGGGAAUAUUGGACAAUGGGGGCAACCCUGAUCCAGCAAUGCCGCGUGUGUGAAGAAGGUCUUCGGAUUGUAAAGCACUUUCACUAGGGAAGAUGAUGACGGUACCUAGAGAAGAAGCCCCGGCUAACUUCGUGCCAGCAGCCGCGGUAAUACGAAGGGGGCUAGCGUUGCUCGGAAUGACUGGGCGUAAAGGGCGCGUAGGCUGUUUGUACAGUCAGAUGUGAAAUCCCCGGGCUUAACCUGGGAACUGCAUUUGAUACGUGCAGACUAGAGUCCGAGAGAGGGUUGUGGAAUUCCCAGUGUAGAGGUGAAAUUCGUAGAUAUUGGGAAGAACACCGGUUGCGAAGGCGGCAACCUGGCUCGGAACUGACGCUGAGGCGCGAAAGCGUGGGGAGCGAACAGGAUUAGAUACCCUGGUAGUCCACGCUGUAAACGAUGUGUGCUGGAUGUUGGGUGAUUUUAUCAUUCAGUGUCGGAGCUAACGCGUUAAGCACACCGCCUGGGGAGUACGGCCGCAAGGUUNAAACUCAAAGGAAUUGACNGGGGNCCNCACAAGCGUUG